RNAcentral lists this ribosomal RNA (305 nucleotides) under uncultured bacterium. Its description in RNAcentral is "bacterial SSU rRNA". It matches the Rfam family "Bacterial small subunit ribosomal RNA", at positions 334 to 637 of the family's 1533-position model. The record is from RNAcentral.
UUGCCCUACGGGACGCAGCAGUGAGGAAUAUUGGUCAAUGGUCGGGAGACUGAACCAGCCAAGCCGCGUGAGGGAUGAAGGUACAGAGUAUCGUAAACCUCUUUUGUCAGGGAACAAAGGCGGGGACGCGUCCCCGGAUGAGUGUACCUGAAGCAAAAGCAUCGGCUAACUCCGUGCCAGCAGCCGCGGUAAUACGGAGGAUGCGAGCGUUAUCCGGAUUUAUUGGGUUUAAAGGGUGCGCAGGCGGACUGGUAAGUCAGCGGGCCAAGCCCGGGGCUCAACCCCGGCCCGCCGUUGAAACUGGG